AACCUCAACACCAUCUCACCUUCCACCUCUUCCUCCUCCUCACACAAACACACGCGGCUCCCUCUCCCAGUUCCAGCCCAGCCCAGUCACCCUUCCCUCCAAUCCGCCGCCACCACCACCAUUAAGACCCUCUGCCGCACCCAAUUAAGUUCGCGUCCCUCAUCUAUCUGUCCUCUAUUACUUACCCUUGCUCGUUCCUUCUCCCCUUCUCAGCUCUUUCCCUCUCCUUUCGCCUCUCGAUUCCCACCCCGUCCCGCCCCCUCCAGUGUUUAUUCGCCGCUCCGUUCCUUUUCGUUCUAUUUCAUCUCGUUCCGUCCUACCUCCACUCCGUAACAGUUCGCCACUCAUCUGUCACAUCGUUCCGCCGUCACACUUCUUCUGAUCUUGAGGCCACCACACAAGACCACACCAAGACCACAACAGACCAAGAUCGCGCCACAGCAAACCAGACCACGCCAGGCUACACCAAGACCACACUAGACCACCUCUUCGGCAAUGAAAGUCGCGCUUACGGCGACGCUUCUGGUGAUGGUGCUGGUGGUGGUGGUGCUGUUGAUGCUGCCGGCGCCCUCCACACAGCUGUUCUUCAGGAGGAGGUUCACCGUUGCUCGUCCACGGGCAAAGUACUGGCGGAGACACAGGUUUGGCCCAGGAUCACGCUCAUACAGGAGAAGGCACGGUGAGCAGACACAAAUCCCGCUGAUCUUUCAAAUGAAGCCGCGGAAGGAAGAGGGAACGAGGCGAGGGUGAGCCAGGUGCGAGGAGCAACAUUACAUAUAGAAAGAGAGAGAGCUUCGUCCAUUACUGAAGUCACCAGGCGAUUCAACCCUUGCAGCGAUACCAGAGAUGUUUUUUUCUAUAAUUACCUGUAGCUUUUCUAUGUUUAUUUUUGUAUUGCGAUCGCUUAGAUAAUAUAAUGCGGUCUGGGAAAGGAAAUGAUCAAUCUAUUUUCCCCAUUUUUUAUUAUUAAUUUAUGACAACAUGGUAAUAUUAAUCCCUUCAGUACCAUGACACGUUUCCAUAUGCAUUCUGGUUAGUAUUUGAUGAUUUUCUACAUUUUCAGAAACUCA
This is a long non-coding RNA of Portunus trituberculatus (swimming crab), 1070 nucleotides long. RefSeq lists it as uncharacterized. The transcript is spliced from 4 exons. The record is from RefSeq and is a predicted model, not a curated record. NCBI's taxonomy places the organism in Eukaryota, Metazoa, Arthropoda, Malacostraca, Decapoda, Portunidae.